GGCUCAAUGGUCUAGUAGUAUGAUUCCUGCUUCGGGUUCACGCCCCUCGCUUGGCAGCGAGCAAUUGCAGGAGGUCUCGGGUUCAAUUCCCGAUUGAGCCC
Steccherinum ochraceum is the source of this 101-nucleotide non-coding RNA. Lineage: Eukaryota; Fungi; Basidiomycota; Agaricomycetes; Polyporales; Steccherinaceae. The record is from the annotation of a GenBank genome assembly.